CAAUAGCGUAUAUUAAGGUUGUUGCGGUUAAAAAGCUCGUAGUUGGAUCUCGGCAGGCAGGGGGUGGUUCGCUCUUAGCGCUACUGCCCCAUUUGCCUGUGUGAUUGGCGGAGGUUUCGGGGUGCUCUUCGUUGAGUGACCCGGGGCGCCGUCAGGUUUACUUUGAAAAAAUUAGAGUGCUCAAAGCAGGCUUUUCACGCUUGAAUAUUCGUGCAUGGAAUAAUGGAAUAGGAACUCGUUUCUAUUUUGUUGGUUUUCGGAAAUCGAGUUAAUGAUUAAUAGGGACAAUUGGGGGCAUUAGUAUUCAGACGACAGAGGUGAAAUUCUUGGACCGUCUGAAGACUAACUACUGCGAAAGCAUUUGCCAAGAGUGUUUUCAUUAA
RNAcentral lists this ribosomal RNA (383 nucleotides) under uncultured eukaryote. RNAcentral describes it as "partial 18S ribosomal RNA". It matches the Rfam family "Eukaryotic small subunit ribosomal RNA", at positions 592 to 976 of the family's 1831-position model. The record is from RNAcentral.